This 497-nucleotide ribosomal RNA is filed under the name uncultured bacterium. RNAcentral describes it as "partial 16S ribosomal RNA". It matches the Rfam family "Bacterial small subunit ribosomal RNA", at positions 28 to 507 of the family's 1533-position model. The record is from RNAcentral.
GAUGAACGCUGGCGGCGUGCCUAAUACAUGCAAGUCGAGCGAACAGACGAGGAGCUUGCUCCUCUGACGUUAGCGGCGGACGGGUGAGUAACACGUGGAUAACCUACCUAUAAGACUGGGAUAACUUCGGGAAACCGGAGCUAAUACCGGAUAAUAUAUUGAACCGCAUGGUUCAAUAGUGAAAGACGGUUUUGCUGUCACUUAUAGAUGGAUCCGCGCCGCAUUAGCUAGUUGGUUAGGUAACGGCUUACCAAGGCAACGAUGCGUAGCCGACCUGAGAGGGUGAUCGGCCACACUGGAACUGAGACACGGUCCAGACUCCUACGGGAGGCAGCAGUAGGGAAUCUUCCGCAAUGGGCGAAAGCUUGACGGAGCAACGCCGCGUGAGUGAUGAAGGUCUUCGGAUCGUAAAACUCUGUUAUUAGGGAAGAACAAAUGUGUAAGUAACUAUGCACGUCUUGACGGUACCUAAUCAGAAAGCCACGGCUAACUACGUG